AUUGAACGCUGGCGGCAGGCCUAACACAUGCAAGUCGAGCGGCUGAAGGGAGCUUGCUCCUGGAUUCAGCGGCGGACGGGUGAGUAAUGCCUAGGAAUCUGCCUGGUAGUGGGGGAUAACGUCCGGAAACGGGCGCUAAUACCGCAUACGUCCUGAGGGAGAAAGUGGGGGAUCUUCGGACCUCACGCUAUCAGAUGAGCCUAGGUCGGAUUAGCUAGUUGGUGGGGUAAAGGCCUACCAAGGCGACGAUCCGUAACUGGUCUGAGAGGAUGAUCAGUCACACUGGAACUGAGACACGGUCCAGACUCCUACGGGAGGCAGCAGUGGGGAAUAUUGGACGAUGGGCGAAAGCCGGAUCCAGCCAUGCCGCGUGUGGGAAGAAGGUCUUCGGAUUGUAAAGCACUUUAAGUUGGGAGGAAGGGCAGUAAGUUAAUACCUGGCGGUUUUGACGUUACCAACAGAAUAAGCACCGGCUAACUUCGUG
Molecule: ribosomal RNA, 484 nt
Filed under: uncultured bacterium
Lineage: Bacteria
Description: partial 16S ribosomal RNA
Rfam family: Bacterial small subunit ribosomal RNA
Source: RNAcentral